CGGCAAGGGAACGCCACUGAUGCCAAACCGGCGGUUCCAGACGUAUCUGUUCUCGCUGUUCAACGAGAAUCUUAAACCGGGUUCGACCGCCGAGAGGAAUUUCGGAUUGUUCAGACCUGACUUCACUCCGGUUUACGACAUUGGGAUUCUGAAACAGGUGAGAUUAUGCUCUCUAUUUAUUAGUUUGAGUGGGGAUUAGGUAAGAUCAUGGCUUACGACAUGGGUAUUUAUUCAGUCCUUGUUAAUGAAGUGGCUUUGUGUUGCUUGACUUGGCAAUAUUCGUCGCUUUCUCUCCAAAAAUUCGAGCUCAGUUUGAUUAGUUUUAACGCCAGGUGGAACAGUACAUACUAAUUAAUUUUUGCUUAAACCCAGCAAUUGAGCUAAUUGAAGUACACUAUUCAAAAAUACUAUCAUAUGGUAAGGUAGGUUCCCUGCUCUCAUUUGUCCUGACUUAGCAUGAGGAUGUGUGAAUAGAAUUGCAUAUCAGUUUUAGAAAUGAAAAUAGAUUUUGGAGAUGGUAAGAGAUGAAUUUUCAUUUUUAGAGGUGAGGCUUGCAGAUUCUCUGGAAUUUACACUCCACAUGACAAUCAACUGCAGUAUAUUUAGAGUUUCAAGAUCGUCUAAUACAAUAUUAUGUUUUUUCUAUGGAGACCUCUUAGUAAUUUGAUCAUUUGACUACAUCAACAUGCACAUUUUCUAAUGGAGAUGCGAAUGAAGCUCCCCCUUUGUAUUUCCUUAAGAACAAAUCAGAUCUUUUUGUGUUUUUGUUAGACUGAUUAAACAACACUAUGAGGAGAGUGGACUGCAUAUGCCGUCUAUAAGAUGUUUUAGAUCUGUGUCAUGUCUGUUAGGUUUAUUUUAAUCGGCUUGUUUCACAUUGCUGCUGUGUAGUCUGCUGGUGGCGCACCAACACCAACUGUGCCAUCUGGCAAGAAGUGGUGUGUACCAAAACCAGAUGCUACCGACGAAGCAUUGCAAUCCAACAUAAACUACGUCUGCAGCACAGGAGUAGAUUGCAAGCCUAUACAACCUGGUGGGGCCUGCUACGACCCCAACACCAUUAGAUCUCAUGCUUCGUAUGCCAUGAAUGCUUAC
This 1095-nucleotide long non-coding RNA is filed under the name Vitis vinifera (wine grape). Its description in RNAcentral is "long non-coding RNA (VVIN_LNC004032)". Lineage: Eukaryota; Viridiplantae; Streptophyta; Magnoliopsida; Vitales; Vitaceae. The record is from RNAcentral.